RNAcentral lists this ribosomal RNA (484 nucleotides) under uncultured bacterium. RNAcentral describes it as "partial 16S ribosomal RNA". It matches the Rfam family "Bacterial small subunit ribosomal RNA", at positions 30 to 507 of the family's 1533-position model. The record is from RNAcentral.
AUUGAACGCUGGCGGCAGGCCUAACACAUGCAAGUCGAGCGGAUGAAGGGAGCUUGCUCCUGGAUUCAGCGGCGGACGGGUGAGUAAUGCCUAGGAAUCUGCCUGGUAGUGUGGGAUAACGUCCGGAAACGGGCGCUAAUACCGCAUACGUCCUGAGGGAGAAAGUGGGGGAUCUUCGUACCUCACGCUAUCAGAUGAGCCUAGGUCGGAUUAGCUAGUUGGUGGGGUAAAGGCCUACCAAGGCGACGAUCCGUAACUGGUCUGAGAGGAUGAUCAGUCACACUGGAACUGAGACACGGUCCCGACUCCUACGGGAGGCAGCAGUGGGGAAUAUUGGACAAUGGGCGAAAGCCUGAUCCAGCCAUGCCGCGUGUGUGAAGAAGGUCUUCGGAUUGUAAAGCACUUUAAGUUGGGAGGAAGGGCAGUAAGUUAAUACCUUGCUGUUUUGACGUUACCAACAGAAUAAGCACCGGCUAACUUCGUG